GCGGAGGAAAAGAAACCAACAGGGAUUGCCCUAGUAACGGCGAGUGAAGCGGCAACAGCUCAAAUUUGAAAGCUGGCUCCGGCCCGCGUUGUAAUUUGCAGAGGAUGCUUCUGGCAAGGUGCCUUCCGAGUUCCCUGGAACGGGACGCCACAGAGGGUGAGAGCCCCGUAUGGAUGGACACCAAGCCUGUGUGAAGCUCCUUCAACGAGUCGAGUAGUUUGGGAAUGCUGCUCAAAAUGGGAGGUAAAUCUCUUCUAAAGCUAAAUACCGGCCAGAGACCGAUAGCGCACAAGUAGAGUGAUCGAAAGAUGAAAAGCACCUUGAAAAGGGGGUUAAACAGUACGUGAAAUUGUUGAAAGGGAAGCGCUUGUGACCAGACUUGCGCCGGGCGGCUCAUCAGGGGUUCUCCCCUGUGCACUCCGCCCGGCUCAGGCCAGCAUCGGUUCUCGCGGGGGGAUAAGAACGGUGGGAACGUGGCCCCCCUCCGGGGGGGUGUUAUAGCCCGCCGUACGAUACCCUCGCGGGGACCGAGGUUCGCGCUCCGCAAGGAUGCUGGCGUAAUGGUCAUCAGCGACCCGUCUUGAAACACGGACCAAGGAGUCGUCCAUUAGAGCGAGCGUUUGGGUGUAAAACCCGCACGCGUAAUGAAAGUGAACGCAGGUGAGAGCUUCGGCGCAUCAUCGACCGAUCCUGAUGUCUUCGGAUGGAUUUGAGUAAGAGUUUUAACGGACGGACCCGAAAGACAGUGAACUAUGCUUGUAUAGGGUGAAGCCAGAGGAAACUCUGGUGGAGGCUCGCAGCGGUUCUGACGUGCAAAUCGAUCGUCAAAUAUGAGCAUGGGGGCGAAAGACUAAUCGAACUGUCUAGUAGCUGGUUACCGCCGAUGUUCUCUCUCGGAAAAUUCCUACCUGAUCCGAGGUCAAAUUUUCAGAAGUUGGGGGGUUUUACGGCAGGGCCCCGCCAGUACGAUCCAAAGCGAGGUUUACACUACUGCGCUCGGAGUCCUGGCAAGUUCCCCCUAGAUUUCAGGGCUUACCCUCCUGCAGGAUAGCAUUCCGGGUAAUGCCCCAACACCAAGCUGGGCUUGAG
RNAcentral lists this small RNA (1089 nucleotides) under Valsa sp. 1 NV-2015. RNAcentral's name for it is "eukaryotic LSU rRNA". It matches the Rfam family "Eukaryotic large subunit ribosomal RNA", at positions 50 to 992 of the family's 3401-position model. The record is from RNAcentral. Lineage: Eukaryota; Fungi; Ascomycota; Sordariomycetes; Diaporthales; Cytosporaceae.